AGCUGCCAUGUUGUGGGGAUGCUCAAGCAGCCCUGAGGAGAGGCCCAUGUAACGAGGAGCUGAGAGGACUUGAACCAAAAGCCAGUAGAGGAUUGAGGUCUCUUGUCAGUAGCCAUGUAAGCGAGCUAUUCUGGAAGCACAUCCUCCAUUCCCAGUCAACAUCUUAAGUUCAGCCUCAUGAGGGACCUUGAGCCUAGCUCAGCCACUCCCAGACUCCUGACCCACAGAUACUGUGUGAGACACCUUGAAUCACAGAUAGCUGGAGAUGAAAAGGACCUUAGAAACCAUGAGAAACACCAUGGGUGAGGAGAGUGGGGAGCUCUGGAACCAUAAACCUAGCUUCAGGUCCCAUUCUGCCACUCACCAGCUGGGUGACCAAGGGCAGCAUUUUUCAGAGAACAGGAGGGCGCUGCUUCCUUAAGUAUUGCCUGGGAUCACAUUCAAACUGGAGAUGUUGCCAGAAGCAAAUCCACCUCGGUGGGGAUUCUGGUUGACCCGGGAGACCCUCUGCUUCUGAGGGAACUGCUGAGGGGCUUGGGCUGUGACUCCAGGACCAAGGGUUUUGGGAGGGACUUUCCUUCCCUGGAAAAGGAAAAGGAAGUGGAGCUACCAGCUGCUGUUCUGGGAGGCUGGAGCUUCAUCUCUCUACCGUGCACCCUUUCCAAAGCUCUGUUCUCUAAGGGCUUCUAGAAGUACCCACUCUAAUCAGAGUUAAGCUGGAUUUGAAGGUUGAGAUGAUUAGAUGUAUCAAAAAACUUUUAAAGUCUAAUAACACCCAGUGCUGUCAAGAAUGUGGAAAGAAAGAGACAUGUAUGCAUUGUUGAUGUGAGUGUCAAUUGGGAUCCAUUUUUUGAAGGGAGUUUGCUAGUAUCAUUAGAAUGUGAAAUAGAUAUGCUGUCAGUCUCAACAUUUCCACUUCUAAGAGUCAGUUCUAGAGAAAUAUGUGCACAUGGACACAAAGAGUCGGGCAGAAAGAUGGUUGCAGAAAUGUUUGUAACUGCAAAAAAAAUAAAAUAAAAUAAAAAGCCACCAAAUCAAAAAA
Long non-coding RNA from Piliocolobus tephrosceles (Ugandan red Colobus), 1042 nucleotides. RefSeq lists it as uncharacterized. The record is from RefSeq and is a predicted model, not a curated record. The transcript has 3 exons. NCBI's taxonomy places the organism in Eukaryota, Metazoa, Chordata, Mammalia, Primates, Cercopithecidae.